RNAcentral lists this ribosomal RNA (1175 nucleotides) under Asterocalycella mirabilis. RNAcentral's name for it is "LSU rRNA". It matches the Rfam family "Eukaryotic large subunit ribosomal RNA", at positions 57 to 1143 of the family's 3401-position model. Lineage: Eukaryota; Fungi; Ascomycota; Leotiomycetes; Helotiales; Sclerotiniaceae. The record is from RNAcentral.
AAAAGAAACCAACAGGGAUUACCUCAGUAACGGCGAGUGAAGCGGUAACAGCUCAAAUUUGAAAUCUGGCUCUUCUAGGGUCCGAGUUGUAAUUUGUAGAAGAUGCUUCGGGUGUGGCUCCGGUCUAAGUUCCUUGGAACAGGACGUCAUAGAGGGUGAGAAUCCCGUAUGUGACUGGCUGCCUUCGCCUAUGUGAAGCUCUUUCGACGAGUCGAGUUGUUUGGGAAUGCAGCUCAAAAUGGGUGGUAUAUUUCAUCUAAAGCUAAAUAUUGGCCAGAGACCGAUAGCGCACAAGUAGAGUGAUCGAAAGAUGAAAAGCACUUUGGAAAGAGAGUUAAACAGUACGUGAAAUUGUUGAAAGGGAAGCGCUUGCAAUCAGACUUGCCUGCCGUCGAUCAUCUCGGGUUCUCUCGAGUGCACUCGGCGGUGGUCAGGCCAGCAUCGGUUUCGGGGGUGGGAUAAAGACCUUAGGAAUGUAGCUCCUCUCGGGGAGUGUUAUAGCCUUCGGUGCAAUGCCGCCUCCCGGGACCGAGGACCGCGCUUCGGCUAGGAUGCUGGCGUAAUGGUUGUAAGCGACCCGUCUUGAAACACGGACCAAGGAGUCUAACAUCUAUGCGAGUAUUUGGGUGUUAAACCCAUAUGCGGAAUGAAAGUGAACGGAGGUACGAACCCUUAAGGGUGCAGUAUCGACCGAUCCUGAUGUCUUCGGAUGGAUUUGAGUAAGAGCAUAGCUGUUGGGACCCGAAAGAUGGUGAACUAUGCGUGAAUAGGGUGAAGCCAGAGGAAACUCUGGUGGAGGCUCGCAGCGGUUCUGACGUGCAAAUCGAUCGUCAAAUUUGCGUAUAGGGGCGAAAGACUAAUCGAACCAUUUGUGUUACUAGGUGGUUAAGAGGGAGCAGAGAUGCUGAUACUAGUCCAGCGCUGAUGGGCAACAUCAACAAACUGCCGGGGACGUCCCGCUAGGCUACGCUACCGCCUCAGACUCUGAAAGGAGGAUAGGCACCGGGUUAAUGACCCUGGGUAUGGUAAAAACGCGUUAGAUAGGGAUAAUCCGCAGCCAACUCCUACGAGGUCUUCAUACCUACGGAGACGGUUCACAGACUAAAUGUUGGUGGGCAUAGUACUAGAUACUAUGCUUAAGAUAUAGUCGAAUCCACUGGGAGACCAGAUGGUAG